GUCUCAGGCCGUAUCAGCCUGAAGGGCCCGAUCUCGUCUGAUCUCGGAAGCUAAGCAGGGUCGGGCCUGGUUAGGAUCUUGGAUCGGGAGACCACCUGGGAAUCCCGGGUGCUCGAGGCU
This 120-nucleotide ribosomal RNA is filed under the name Bison bison bison. The record is from RNAcentral. Lineage: Eukaryota; Metazoa; Chordata; Mammalia; Artiodactyla; Bovidae.